Molecule: long non-coding RNA, 427 nt
Organism: Paramisgurnus dabryanus
Lineage: Eukaryota; Metazoa; Chordata; Actinopteri; Cypriniformes; Cobitidae
Source: RefSeq, a predicted model, not a curated record
ACUGGUUAAACUUAAAGCCGAUAUUUUCUAUCGAACUAGUCUAUUUUCUGUUCAGACACAAAGUUUUCUGAUGCUGAUAUUAUGUCAGUGUGUGUUUGUGUGGGGGUCGUGUGAUGUAAUCUUUGAAAGUUUAUGACCGAACCUUUAUUGGGGAGCGACAAGAGAUCUCCCGGACUCAGUUUGGAUGGAGCAGAGCUGUUAUACUCAAGUCUAUUGCGAAAUUGUCUAAACUGGUAUUAACUAUUCCUGGUAAAUCGCGGAGAAGAGUGGAAUGAACAAAAAAAGUCAGACCGAGACUAGAACCUCCCGCAGCGUAACACGGAAAUCUUGGAACAAAAGAGACGCCGAGUGGCUCGUGUUGUCCGGUUUGGAUAUCAGCGGCAAAGCGAACGUUGUGUGUAUUGCAAAAUAUAUAGUGGAUCUCCAC